GCCAAAAAAGUGUAAGGCGAACAUCGCUGCCCGGAAAGCAGAAGAUGCGGGUUCGAGUCCCGCCUGGCG
Non-coding RNA from Heligmosomoides polygyrus, 69 nucleotides. NCBI's taxonomy places the organism in Eukaryota, Metazoa, Nematoda, Chromadorea, Rhabditida, Heligmosomidae. The record is from Rfam.